CAAGUCGCACGAGAAAGGGGAGCAAUCCCUGAGUACAGUGGCGUACGGGUGAGUAACACGUGGAUGAUCUACCCUCUAGUGGGGAAUAACCCUGGGAAACCGGGGCUAAUACCGCAUAAGCUCGAGAGAGGAAAGCAGCAAUGCGCUGGAAGAGGAGUCCGCGGCCGAUUAGCUAGUUGGCAGGGUAAAAGCCUACCAAGGCAAAGAUCGGUAGCCGGCCUGAGAGGGCACACGGCCACACUGGCACUGAAACACGGGCCAGACUCCUACGGGAGGCAGCAGUGGGGAAUCUUGCACAAUGGGGGAAACCCUGAUGCAGCGACGCCGCGUGAGCGAUGAAGCCCUUCGGGGUGUAAAGCUCUUUCGGCAGGGAAGAUGAUGACGGUACCUGCAGAAGCAGCUGCGGCUAACUACGUGCCAGCAGCCGCGGUAAUACGUAGGCAGCGAGCGUUGUUCGGAGUUACUGGGCGUAAAGGGUGUGUAGGCGGUUGUUUAAGUUUGGUGUGAAAUCUCCCGGCUCAACUGGGAGGGUGCGCCGAAUACUGAAUGACUAGAGUGCGGGAGAGGUGAGUGGAAUUCCUGGUGUAGCGGUGAAAUGCGUAGAUAUCAGGAGGAACACCGGUGGUGUAGACGGCUCACUGGACCGUAACUGACGCUGAGACACGAAAGCGUGGGGUAGCAAACAGGAUUAGAUGCCCUGGUAGUCCACGCCCUAAACGAUGCAUAUUUGGUGUGGGCAGUUCAUUCUGUCCGUGCCGGAGCUAACGCGUUAAAUAUGCCGCCUGGGGAGUACAGUCGCAAGGCUUGAAACUCAAAGGAAUUUGACGGGGGGCCCGCACAAGCGGUGGA
This 849-nucleotide ribosomal RNA is filed under the name uncultured Bacillota bacterium. Its description in RNAcentral is "bacterial SSU rRNA". It matches the Rfam family "Bacterial small subunit ribosomal RNA", at positions 58 to 936 of the family's 1533-position model. The record is from RNAcentral. Lineage: Bacteria; Bacillati; Bacillota.